This is an RNA transcript of Anguilla anguilla (European eel), 2129 nucleotides long. It is a transcript of the gene named chemokine-like protein TAFA-5, with no coding region annotated. Lineage: Eukaryota; Metazoa; Chordata; Actinopteri; Anguilliformes; Anguillidae. The transcript is spliced from 5 exons. The record is from RefSeq and is a predicted model, not a curated record.
CUCUCACACACACACACACACAAAAGCUACGUGUGUGCAUUCACUUUCCUUACAUGUUGAAUGCGAAGAAUGCGUCAGAUGACGUUUCGUUUCUGCCAGCGGUGUCGAAAGGAUAUAGCCCAAUAGACAGUGAUUAUGGGCAAAUGACGGGAUAGGCUAAUGGUGAGAUCAGUUCGCAACAAGUCUUUACUCUUUUCAGUCCCUUCAUUUCUGUACAAGACUAAACUAAUUAACCGAACCUUCCCACGUUUCUGCGCGCACUCUCAGUCUCCAGUUCUCUCUCUCUCUCCGUAACCACUCGGACGGAUUUUUCGUUGCCUUUACAUUUACAAUGCGCGUGCUGUGCUAUUAAAGUCUGUCGUCCUGCCUGCGCAGUUGUGGACCGAAUACAGUCUGUCGUGGGAUUUUCCCAGAUAUUACCUCUGCGUUUUUCUCUCCCUCUUUGCUGGGGAGUUGCACACCACUACCAUUCCGAGAUCCACCGUCCACACAGGUGCGAUUUGGCUGCUGCACGCGGUUGCGGUAUCAAUGGCGAAGGCUUUCCGUUCAGAAAACUUGGGAGCGCGGUUUUAGGUCGGUAGCUUCACCCUGACAGAAUUUUUUUUUUUUUUUUUAAACGAACACCUUCCGUGAAAAAUCAAUGCUUACAAGAUAUUUUUUAUGAUUUAUUUUGGAAUCGCACCUAGUAGUCUACAUGCCACCUCAUGAAGGUAUAUUGCAGCGCGCGCAGCUUCUAACCGUAAUCAUACGUGGGGCUUUUCCGAACCGCGGACAAGUGGAAGAUAUCUUUCCUUUUGACCUGCAAUGGUUAUUGAAGUACUGGGAGCAUUCUGAAGACGAAAACGAUUCCAAUAUGUCAUUUUUAGGGAUUACACGUGGCGAGAGGCGUUCCAUUAAAGGCCGAGGGGGCUGGUAAAAAAAAUACAAAUUUCUUCAGGUACUGGGACACUGGCUUCGAUGGCUGCGACCCCCAGGUUUAAAAAUCGGAAGGAUGUCAGCGCCUGGCCGAAAACAUCCCCAACUUUCUGGGCUAUAGUGCUACUGAGCAGCCUGAUAAUCCUCUACUGCGGUCAGCUGGCAGCGGGGACGUGUGAGAUCGUCACGCUGGACCGGGACAGCAGCCAGCCGCGGCGGACCAUCGCGCGGCAGACAGCGCGCUGCGCGUGUAAGAGGGGCCAGAUCGCCGGGACAACGAGGGCCAGGCCGGCCUGUGUGGACGCGCGCAUCGUGAGGUCCAGGCAGUGGUGUGACAUGAUGCCCUGUCUGGAGGACGAAGGCUGCGACCUGUUAGCGAACGGGUCGGGCUGGACCUGCACGCAGCCCGGAGGCAGGGUCAAAACCACAACGGCACUAUGAUGUGAUGGAGCCCCCCUUUCGUACAAACGCCCCGGAUGAGCCGCGUGCAGCCUGACAGGACAGGACAGGACAGCCCCAAAACCCCGCCACCCCUCGCCAAGAACAGACAGUGACCAACUCCCGCUAACUGCAAGCCGCCGCGGGCCUUGACCGCACCGUAAGGUCUCCUGAGAACAGAGAACAGAGUCUCCCACAUCACCGGAGCAGCGUGGACUCUUUAGAGCUAGCUGCCCUCGCAAGUCAAGUCUACACGGCUCUGGGUCAUCUGUUGCUCGUCAUCAGCUCAGCUCAUCCAUCCACGGACAGCGCCCCCUUGUGCCUGGGCUGACCUCGCAAGUCUCUCUGACCCCCUUUUUUUGCCCAAAGAGCGGAAGCUGGGAUUAAAAACGGACUUCGCGGAGGGAAUUGUUUUUAAUUGGCUGAAGGGGAGGACGACAUCACAGGAAGCUGGUGCAUGACACGCCCGCAGACUGGACUCCAUGAUCAGGGAGAGUACCCGCGUCGGCUGUCUGGCGAAUUCAAAAGAGCUGUCUGUCCAAGGUUUAUUUUUGGCACCCUGAAUUUAUUUUUUUGUCUGUCUGUAUUUUCUUUCUUCUGUUGUUUUUUUUUUUUACAGACCAAAGAAAAACGGCAUUUAAGUCGGGCCAGAUGGAACAGGUCGGAAACAAAGGGAUUCUGAGAAAUUAAUGAAUUCAGCUCGGAACAGGCAGCAAAACAAAGAGACGCAAACACACACACACACACACGCUUGCACACACACACACACACACACA